CCCUUAGAUGUUCUGGGCCGCACGCGCGCUACACUGACGAUGCCAACGAGUCUUUCCUUCGCCGAAAGGCGUGGGUAAUCUUUUGAAACAUCGUCGUGCUGGGGAUAGAUCAUUGCAAUUCUUGAUCUUGAACGAGGAAUUCCUAGUAAGCGCGAGUCAUCAGCUCGCGUUGAUUACGUCCCUGCCCUUUGUACGCACCGCCCGUCGCUACUACCGAUUGAAUGGUUUAGUGAGGACUCCUGAUUGGCGCCGCCGCCCCGGCAACGGAGCAGCGGACUGCCGAAAAGUUGUUCAAACUUGAUCAUUUAGAGGAAGUAAAAGUCGUAACA
This 329-nucleotide ribosomal RNA is filed under the name uncultured eukaryote. Its description in RNAcentral is "partial 18S ribosomal RNA". It matches the Rfam family "Eukaryotic small subunit ribosomal RNA", at positions 1470 to 1796 of the family's 1831-position model. The record is from RNAcentral.